AUUGAACGCUGGCGGCAGGCCUAACACAUGCAAGUCGAAUGGUAACAGGAAACAGCUUGCUGUUUCGCUGACGAGUGGCGGACGGGUGAGUAAUGUCUGGGAAACUGCCUGAUGGAGGGGGAUAACUACUGGAAACGGUAGCUAAUACCGCAUAACGUCGCAAGACCAAAGAGGGGGACCUUCGGGCCUCUUGUCAUCAGAUGUGCCCAGAUGGGAUUAGCUAGUAGGUGGGGUAACGGCUCACCUAGGCGACGAUCCCUAGCUGGUCUGAGAGGAUGACCAGCCACACUGGAACUGAGACACGGUCCAGACUCCUACGGGAGGCAGCAGUGGGGAAUAGUGCACAAUGGGCGCAAGCCUGAUGCAGCCAUGCCGCGUGUAUGAAGAAGGCCUUCGGGUUGUAAAGUACUUUCAGCGGGGAGGAAGGGAGUAAAGUUAAUACCUUUGCUCAUUGACGUUACCCGCAGAAGAAGCACCGGCUAACUCCG
This 488-nucleotide ribosomal RNA is filed under the name uncultured bacterium. RNAcentral's name for it is "partial 16S ribosomal RNA". It matches the Rfam family "Bacterial small subunit ribosomal RNA", at positions 30 to 505 of the family's 1533-position model. The record is from RNAcentral.